UGCCACUUGUCUUCAAUAAAUCUCCUGGGA
Molecule: non-coding RNA, 30 nt
Filed under: Rattus norvegicus (Norway rat)
Lineage: Eukaryota; Metazoa; Chordata; Mammalia; Rodentia; Muridae
Source: RNAcentral